Molecule: non-coding RNA, 24 nt
Filed under: Arabidopsis thaliana (thale cress)
Lineage: Eukaryota; Viridiplantae; Streptophyta; Magnoliopsida; Brassicales; Brassicaceae
Source: RNAcentral
AUACUCGCUGGUUUACCAGUCAUA